RNAcentral lists this ribosomal RNA (253 nucleotides) under uncultured bacterium. RNAcentral describes it as "partial 16S ribosomal RNA". It matches the Rfam family "Bacterial small subunit ribosomal RNA", at positions 524 to 776 of the family's 1533-position model. The record is from RNAcentral.
UACAGAGGGGGCAAGCGUUGUUCGGAAUUACUGGGCGUAAAGGGCGCGUAGGCGGCCUGCUAAGUCGAACGUGAAAUCCCCGGGCUCAACCCGGGAACUGCGUCCGAUACUGACAGGCUCGAGUCCGGGAGAGGGAUGUGGAAUUCCAGGUGUAGCGGUGAAAUGCGUAGAUAUCUGGAGGAACACCGGUGGCGAAGGCGGCAUCCUGGACCGGUAUUGACGCUGAGGCGCGAAAGCCAGGGGAGCAAACGGG